CUUCAACGGAGAGUUUGAUCCUGGCUCAGGAUGAACGCUGGCGGCGUGCUUAACACAUGCAAGUCGAACGAUGAUCCCAGCUUGCUGGGGGAUUAGUGGCGAACGGGUGAGUAACACGUGAGUAACCUGCCCUUAACUCUGGGAUAAGCCUGGGAAACUGGGUCUAAUACCGGAUAUGACUCCUCAUCGCAUGGUGGGGGGUGGAAAGCUUUUUGUGGUUUUGGAUGGACUCGCGGCCUAUCAGCUUGUUGGUGAGGUAAUGGCUCACCAAGGCGACGACGGGUAGCCGGCCUGAGAGGGUGACCGGCCACACUGGGACUGAGA
RNAcentral lists this ribosomal RNA (324 nucleotides) under Arthrobacter sp. SPG23. RNAcentral describes it as "bacterial SSU rRNA". It matches the Rfam family "Bacterial small subunit ribosomal RNA", at positions 1 to 324 of the family's 1533-position model. Lineage: Bacteria; Bacillati; Actinomycetota; Actinomycetes; Micrococcales; Micrococcaceae. The record is from RNAcentral.